GCAGCUGAUUGAGGGAGACAGGGAAAGAAAUGAAGAGGGUAUUCCCUUCCCAGGAGCCCGGGGGAAUUUAGGAAAUCCUGGGGUUGCCUCCUCAUUCUCCUCCACCCGCCCCCCCCCCACCCGUUUAUAAUGCCCCACCCCCAUCACCUAACUUUUUUUAACCCUCUUUCCUGUCUCGAGGAGACCUAGAUCCCCAUCCUGGGAGGGACUGGCAACAAUUAACAAAGGCACCAUGGAGUAAAGACAAUUAACAAUCCAGAAAAGAGGGGAAAGAGAGGCUUUGUUCUGGUCACCAUGGCAACGGAGGGGGGGGAGGGAGGAAGGAGGAGGAGGAGGAGGAGAGGCCAUCCAGAGAGGCUGAUACUUUCACUUUCCUUUCAUCCCUCCCCUGUCCCGCCCCCUUGGGUUUCUGCCAGGGAGACAGGGGAUCUUGAAGAACACAGGACUGGGACAGGCCCAGUCUGCAGGCUGGAGAUUCAAGGAUAAGAGGAGGAUUUUUCAGGCUUCUCUCUACUGCACACAGUUCUGAACUCUACCUCGGAGCAAGAGAGAAACCAAGUAUAGAAAACUCAUCCCCAAGUGCUCUGGGGUCCAGCUCUCCCAGGCUUCCCUGUUUGGAAAAGGCAGAAGACAAUGAAAUAUAAGCUCCAAAACCCCACUAGAGACCAUGCUGUUGGCUUAGGGGGAAUUGGAAAUCACCCUCCAUCUCGCGAGUGCUUCUAGCCAGAGCAGAAGCUUUUUGGCAGGAGAAGCCAGGCGCACCAGCCCCGCCUCAUGGAUGGGCCUCUCCAUUAGCCAUAGGAGACUGCCUGCCAGGCUAUUUCUUGCUCCCAGCAACCCUAACAUCAUGAGAGAAAAUAGGCUAUGGACUCCAGAACCUUAUCUUUCUAGGACUCAGCCUUAUCGCCCUGUGGGUCCAAGUGAAAUGAAGAAUAUUAAUCAGAAACUAAAAUCAAGGAGAAAAAAAAAUCCGUUCUGUCAGAGGCCCUAAACCAAGCAAGAGGUCAAAGGUCCUGCUCUCUGCCUGGAGGGUAUCCUGUCAGGCACUCCUUGCAUGGAUGCUAUUAUGGGCUGAACUGUGUCUCCAAAUUCAUCUGUCCAAGCCCCCAGUACCUCAGAAGGUGACUCUACUUGGAGACAGGGUCUUUGCAGAGGUAACUGAGUUAAAAUGAGGUCAUUAGGGUGGGUUGUAAAUCCACAGGACUGGUGUCCUUAUAAGAAGACAUCUCUACACAGACACACAGGGAGAAGAUGGCCGUCUACAAGCCACGGAGAGAGGCCUAGGACAGAUCCUUCUCUCGUGGCCCUCCGAAGAAACCACCCCUCACAGACUGCUAGCCUUCAGAACUCUAAGCAGAUACAUUUCUGCUGUGCGAGCCCCCCAGUCCAUGGUGCUUUGUAAGGGUAGCAAAUUGACAUGGAUGCUUAAAGGUUGGGAGGUCUGCACAACCUUGAGGCUGCCUGGACUCACAGAGUGUGUCUGUGAAAGGGGGGUAGGCUUUUGUACUAGCAUGGUUGCAUUAUUUUAAUUUGAAACAAAAUUGAUCUAUUA
This is a long non-coding RNA of Neofelis nebulosa (Clouded leopard), 1552 nucleotides long. RefSeq lists it as uncharacterized. NCBI's taxonomy places the organism in Eukaryota, Metazoa, Chordata, Mammalia, Carnivora, Felidae. The transcript is spliced from 2 exons. The record is from RefSeq and is a predicted model, not a curated record.